RNAcentral lists this ribosomal RNA (253 nucleotides) under uncultured bacterium. Its description in RNAcentral is "partial 16S ribosomal RNA". It matches the Rfam family "Bacterial small subunit ribosomal RNA", at positions 524 to 776 of the family's 1533-position model. The record is from RNAcentral.
UACGGGGGGGGCAAGCGUUGUUCGGAAUUACUGGGCGUAAAGCGCUCGUAGGCGGCCAACUAAGUCAUACGUGAAAUCCCUCAGCUUAACUGGGGAACUGCGUGUGAUACUGGAUGGCUUGGAUUUGGGAGAGGGAUGCGGAAUUCCAGGUGUAGCGGUGAAAUGCGUAGAUAUCUGGAGGAACACCGGUGGCGAAGGCGGCAUCCUGGACCAAUAUUGACGCUGAGGAGCGAAAGCCAGGGGAGCGAACGGG